AAAAAGAUAAACCCUGGAUUUUUGUGUCUAACUUUAACUGUCCGUCUUAUAUAAAAUUUUUUUAUAAUUCAUAUUUUCAUUGUUGUUAGAUGAUAAAAAUAUGAUUAAUAUUUAAUACGUGACUUGUCUUUUUAAUUUUUUUAAUAAUUUUUUUAAAUAAGACGAACGGUCAAAUGUUGGGCACGGAAUCCAGGGUUUGUCUUUUU
This is a non-coding RNA of Oryza glaberrima (African rice), 206 nucleotides long. The record is from Rfam. NCBI's taxonomy places the organism in Eukaryota, Viridiplantae, Streptophyta, Magnoliopsida, Poales, Poaceae.